This 378-nucleotide long non-coding RNA is filed under the name Brassica napus (rape). RNAcentral's name for it is "long non-coding RNA (BNAP_LNC011338)". The record is from RNAcentral. Lineage: Eukaryota; Viridiplantae; Streptophyta; Magnoliopsida; Brassicales; Brassicaceae.
UGAGGGAGCUAUGAGAUGAAGACACAUUCACAUGUUUGAUAAAAAUUGAGUUAUUGUAGGGAGAAUAAUUAAAAAAUUAGACAUUAAUAUUUAGUUAUAAGUUCUAACCGUAAGAAUCUUACCGUUGAAUUUGAUCCAGAUUACGUAUUUUGAUUUGAACAAAAGGUACAAUAAUAUUCGUAUAACUUUUUCUAGAAAUGAAUCAGUUGUAUCGAUUAAAAAAUAGAGAUUUUGGUUCUAUCAAUUACAAUAUUAGAACUAGUCACUCUCUCGAUCUAAUUUUCCAGAUACGAAUAAACUUGAGUUGAGAUUUAUCACUGAAAAGUCGAAAAUUAAAGGCACUGCUCAGUCUAUAGAUCUCUCCUAACUCUAAAAAGC